Molecule: transfer RNA, 77 nt
Filed under: Acidimicrobiaceae bacterium
Lineage: Bacteria; Bacillati; Actinomycetota; Acidimicrobiia; Acidimicrobiales; Acidimicrobiaceae
Also listed under: 2 other names
Description: tRNA-Ala
Rfam family: tRNA
About the family: Transfer RNA (tRNA) molecules are approximately 80 nucleotides in length.
Source: RNAcentral
GGGGCUGUAGCUCAGUUGGCUAGAGCACCUGCUUUGCAAGCAGGGGGUCGUGGGUUCGAGUCCCAUCAGCUCCACCA